RNAcentral lists this ribosomal RNA (1316 nucleotides) under unidentified marine bacterioplankton. RNAcentral's name for it is "bacterial SSU rRNA". It matches the Rfam family "Bacterial small subunit ribosomal RNA", at positions 9 to 1371 of the family's 1533-position model. The record is from RNAcentral.
GAGUUUGAUCAUGGCUCAGAACGAACGCUGGCGGCAUGCCUCAUACAUGCAAGUCGAACGAGGUCUUCGGACCUAGUGGCGCACGGGUGAGUAACAUGUGGGAAUCUACCUAAAGGUUCGGAAUAACUGCGGGAAACUGUAGCUAAUACCGGAUGUGUCUGAAAAGAGAAAGAUUUAUCGCCUUUAGAUGAGCCCGCACUAGAUUAGCUAGUUGGUGAGGUAAUUGCUCCACCAAGGCUACGAUCUAUAGCUGAUUUGAGAGGAUGAUCAGCCACACUGGGACUGAGACACGGCCCAGACUCCUACGGGAGGCAGCAGUAGGGAAUAUUGGACAAUGGGGGAAACCCUGAUCCAGCAAUGCCGCGUGAGUGAAGAAGGCCUUAGGGUUGUAAAACUCUUUCAUCAACGAUGAUAAUGACAUUAAUUGAAGAAGAAGCUCCGGCUAACUUCGUGCCAGCAGCCGCGGUAAUACGAAGGGGGCUAGCGUUGUUCGGAAUCACUGGGCGUAAAGCGUAUGUAGGCGGAUCAAAAAGUUAGAUGUGAAAUCCCUGGGCUCAACCCAGGAACUGCAUUUAAAACUAGUGAUCUAGAAUUUGGUAAGGGUUAGUAGAAUUUCCAGUGUAGAGGUGAAAUUCGUAGAUAUUGGAAAGAAUACCAGAAGCGAAGGCGACUAACUAGGCCAUUUUUGACGCUGAGAUACGAAAGCGUGGGUAGCAAACAGGAUUAGAUACCCUGGUAGUCCACGCAGUAAACGAUGAGUGCUAGUCGCUGGUGCAAUAGUAUCAGUGUCGAAGCUAACGCAUUAAGCACUCCGCCUGGGAAGUACGGUCGCAAGAUUAAAACUCAAAUAAAUUGACGGGGGCCCGCACAAGCGGUGGAGCAUGUGGUUUAAUUCGAAGCAACGCGAAGAACCUUACCGGACCUUGACAUGGUAUGUUUGAAUUACAGAAUCGUAAUUCUUCAGUUCGGCUGGCAUACACACAGGUGCUGCAUGGCUGUCGUCAGCUCGUGUCGUGAGAUGUUGGGUUAAGUCCCGCAACGAGCGCAACCCUCAUCUUUAGUUGCCAGCGGUUAGGCCGGGCACUCUAGAGAAACUGCCUGCGAUGAGCAGGAGGAAGGCGGGGAUGACGUCAAGUCCUCAUGGCCCUUAUGGACUGGGCUACACACGUGCUACAAUGGCGGUGACAAUGGGCAGCGAAAGGGCGACCUGGAGCAAAUCCCCAAAAACCGUCCCAGUUCGGAUUGUACUCUGCAACUCGAGUGCAUGAAGUUGGAAUCGCUAGUAAUCGCGGAUCAGCAUGCCGCGGUGAAUACGU